Molecule: long non-coding RNA, 4157 nt
Organism: Ailuropoda melanoleuca (giant panda)
Lineage: Eukaryota; Metazoa; Chordata; Mammalia; Carnivora; Ursidae
Exons: 5
Source: RefSeq, a predicted model, not a curated record
GACACCUGUUCCAGUAACAGUGACAACAAGCGGCGUCUGGGCACGGAGCGCUUCUCAUGAUCGGCCUGGGGCCCCAUCUGUGCUGCCUGCUGCACCAGACGCCCAGUGACCCCAACCAGGGCUCCCCCCGCCCCCCACCUGCUGAGCCUCUGCCCCGCAGUCGGACCACUUGCGAAAGGCGGAGCCCUCCGUGCACCGAGGCUGCUGGGCUCACAGCCGCCACCAUCAGGGCGUCCUGAAGAUUGAAUACGGUAAUGCCUUUAAAGCACAGUGUCCGCACACAAACCCGGCUCGGGAAAUGGUACUACCGAGCGACCCUGUGGAUGCGGGGCUCCCAGGAGAAGGUGGAUGGAAGUACUUUGAGGCUCUAGAGCGGACGCCAGCGUGGCAGUCUUCUUCCCCGCUGGAGAGGUUCUGAGUGGGGCCGGCGAGAUCAGUGACACUGUGUGGUAGUACCCAUUCUGUCCGCAUCAACCCGGAGGGUUUACAAAGCACCAUCAUCCCUCAUCUCGCUGAACCCUCUGGGUCCUCCAAGACAGACCUCCCCUUCCCGGAUGAAAAUUUUGGCUUCACACCAACCUCCGUUUCCCCCACGCACACAUCCUAAAGGCUUUAUAAAAGGUGGUGAAAGCCAACGGAUUCGGGGCCACCGUUCACACCUUUCCAGCUGCUCCCACCAAGUCCCCAGAAAGUUCUGAGAUGAUGAGAACAGCAGCAUUCAAGGACCUGUUCCCAGAACGGGAUGACUGAGUCAGAGGAUGUGGACAUUUUCAUGACACGCGGCAUACAGAGCACGCCCUCCAGCCAGGCACAAGUGCACCAGCUGUGCUGGCCGCCACCACAACCAGAAGCUGUGUGUCAGGGUCUCUGAGACCACCCCUGGGCUGACGAUUUGCUAGGACUCCCAGGACUCAGCCUGCGGUCGUGCUCAUGGCUCUGAUUUGACCAAAGGAAAUGAAGCAAAAUCAGGAAAGAGAAAAGGCACAUGAGACGAAGCCCAGAGGACACCAGGCACAGGCUUCUACAUGUCUCCCAUGGGGUCACACAGGGCAGGCGGGCUCCCCAGCAGUGAGGUGUGACGACACGUGCGGAAGGUUGUCGGCCAGGUAGACUCGCUAUUUGUUUAUUUAUUAAGACGUAUUCAUUUAUUUGAGAGAGAGUGAGCACUCAAGCAGGGGGAGGGGCAGAGGGAGAGGGAGGGAGAGAAUCUCAAGCAGACUCCAUGCAGAGUGUGGAGCCCCAUGCAGGGCUCGAUCCCACAGCUCCAGAUCAUGACCUGAGCUGAAACCAAGAGUCAGACGCUCAACCGACUGAGCCACCCAGGUGCCCUGACCAGGUAGGCUCUUUGGAGACUCAGUGCCCAGGGCUUUUGCGGGGGGCAAGUUAUGUAGGCACUUCUGUGUAGCACGUCCCCAAAUCCCAGAGUCCCAGACGGAAAGCCACUGCUCGGCCUGAAUCAUAUUGUAGCACAGUUCAGGCAUAGGGAGCCAUUCUCAUCAGGGAAUGGAGGGAACCCUCCGGAAAUCUAGGUUCCCAGAGCCCGGUGAAGGCCUUGCUGAGGAGAGUGGUCUGAGGCGCGCGCUGUUAACUACUUUUCACUUGCGAUUGCACUCGCUAACACUUAACUAGUCCCCAUGUUCCCCGCGAGCACCCUUGAUCAUUUUCAGCAAUUAGGCGCUCUGCAUUUUCGAUACCAAUCUAGGCUCUGGGAGAUCAUUUAAAUAUUCCCUGAUAGAUAAUUACAUUAGAAAUAAUAAUUGUAUAGCACUUCAGGGUUGAGAGCGUGCUUGCGUUUCUCACUGAAGUAUGACAGCUUCAUGAGGGAUGGUUGGUGCUAUCUGCAUUUGGUGCAGAGCCUGGGUGCUCAGAAAACCAUGUCUCCCACUGGUUCCAUGGGCAGGAAGUGGGGUGCCAGGACCGGAACCCCUGCUGACCACCAUUUCUGGUCUCCGCCUAAAUUAUUAUUUGCAGAGGGAAAGCAUCCCACAUAAACAGUUUGAGCUUGGCUCUCCAAAAUGUAAGCUCGGUGAUUUACAUUCUGAAGACCCUGGAUCCCUGGGAGUUGGAGGCAUUUUAAGCACUGGAAAAAAAUUCUGGGGGCAUCGUCUUAUUUUCUAUACUCUGGAACUUCCCGCUAAUGGGCAGCUGAAUGCUUUUCAGGAGAAAGCUGUUGAAUCGGGGUGGUUGCAAUGCACAUGCGGGGCAGCAGGGGGCAGCCUGUAGCUGCGCACCCUCCAUCAGCUCUAAACUGUGAUUCGCUCCCGUCCCAUCAUCCCAGGGCGCUGAGAGAAGCCAGGCGUCCUGAUGGUUUGAGGCACUCUGGAAAUGAGCGUAAUGUCCAGAGGGGUCCAUGAAGGGACUCAGCAGUGGGCCUGGGGGAAGCUGGGGCUUGACAAAGAGCCGUCAGUUAGCAGUGGCUCUGGGCAGGGAUGAUGCCCCAAAUGGUUGGCAACAGGUAGAGCCCAGGCAGCAGCCAGCCAGGAGGGGCUGGAGGCCAGCAGCCGCAGCACAAGAGUGCAGGACCGAGACGUGAGAGGUGGGAAGUGGGGGGUGGGAGGGGGAUUGGGGGCAGCUAUUUACCAGUUGGUAUGAAGGAAUCUGGAUAUUUAGAAACUGAACCAGUGCUUACGGGCUGAGGAUUAGCCCGGAUGAGGUCUGUAGGGGCCGAAGCAAUGGUGUCAAGAUCCCUUCAGCCCAGGCGCUGUGGUUUUAGUGGUUCAUAGGAUUGGUAAUUCUGAGAACAUGAGCUUUUUGCAAACCAAGGGGAUAUAUUACACUAUUACACUCUCACAGCAGAUCAGGCUGCUUUGCCCUUGGCUUUCUGAGCCCCCAUGAUUUGGCCACCCCCACUGACCCACGCAGGUCCGUGCCCCUGGGAGCCUGGUCUGGCAGACCUCACUCCUGCUCCAGGCUCCCCCAAGCUCCGCCAGCUGCUCGUGUAGCGGUGGUCUCCGAGGGGAGAGGCUGGGGUCCAGGCUGGAGCGGGGGGCAGCCGGGCAGGCUGGGGUGUGGAGGGGAGCACCUGACCAGGUACAGAGCAUGGGAUUCGUGUUGGGCAGACCUCCGUCCCAGCUCCAGCCCCAUCCCCUGGGGGACCGUGGGUGAGCCCCUUUGCCUGUCUUCCACCCUGACCUGGCCGUGCUGGUGAGAACAGGCUGGGAAGGUGGAGGUGAGCGGCCUCCAACUCGGGGGUGCAGUGCACGUCCAUGCUGAGUGUGUUCACCCUCAGUCAGGUUCUUCCAGGGAGAAUCGGGUCUAGAAUGUGGGAGUACCCGAGGAGGGAGGGACUGAGGAUUAAAGUCCAGCAAAGGACAGUGACCCCCAGGAGCUUGUCUCCCAAGAGCAAGUUCACUGGACUCUGUAGACUGGGUAAGGCCGAUUGUCCUCCCCAUGUGCCUUGUCCAGUUACUGGAAGACCUGCAUAGAAUCAAAAGUCCGAGUAAGAAGAAUUCUUCCGUCCUGACUGCCGUCCUGGCGCAUUGGUCUUUUCGUGCCUUUGGUCUUAAGCUAGAAAAUCGACUCUUCUAGGGUCUGAGUCUGCCAGACUCGAACUUACACCAUCGGCUCUCGUGGGCCUCUGGCCUGCCAGCUGCACUUGUGGGGACUUGUCAGCCUCUGUGAUCCUGUGGGCCAACUCCUUAUGACAGAUCUAUCUCUGUCCUUCUGUCUACCUAGCCAACUCUGCAUAUCCAUAUCUGUACCUUCUUUAGAGAACCUGAGUAAUACAGAUGGGUCUUAUUUUCUCUAUUUUCCAGAUGAGGAAACUAAGUCCAGAGAGUUGAGAUGGGGGGUGGGAACUCAGAGUCCCAUGAGCACAGGCUGGACCGUCUGAAGCUGGCCCCCAUCUUGUCAGGUCGUAUCAUGCCUGGGCGCAGCUGGACCCGUGGGGAACACACAGGCCUGGCUCAGGAGAUAGGGAUGCCCCCUUCUUCGUCACAGGAACCCGGAGGACAAGUAGUUAGUCAGCCCUACCCUAAAGAUAUAGUCACCAGAUGUACCUAAUGAAAUCCCUAACAUAUAGAACAAAGACAGGCACCCCAGUGUUUACAACAGCAAUGUCUACAAUAGCCGGACUAUGGAAAGAGCCCAGAUGUCCAUCGACAGAUGAAUGGGUAAAGAAAAUGUGACACACACACACACACACACACACAUACACA